UUCAAUAUUCAACAAUUUUUAGAAAAUUGUCUUAUUGGCAUGUGAGUGUAUAUUAAUAAUCCAUUUGUAUAUUACGUAAUAUUCAUACAGCAUUCUAGAGAAUACUAAGAUUCGUUUCUCACGCCUAUUAUUUUAUGCAAAACAAGAAAAUUAAUAACGUUCCACCACAUUAUAUUAAACAUUUAUUAAACAUCUACAAUUACAUGCAAUAAUCAUGAUGGCUGUGGGUAGAAAACAUAUUGAACUUGCUUUGAAGUGGAUUCCAUCAGCAGCUAUGUAUAGCACUGGAGCUAGCCUUGGAUUGCUAUAUUUCACUGAUUGGAGACUUGUACUUCAAUAUCUUCCCUAUUAUAGAGGAAAAUUCCAAACAUAAAUGAGAUUCCAUAGUAUUGAUAUUG
Phymastichus coffea is the source of this 398-nucleotide long non-coding RNA. RefSeq lists it as uncharacterized. The record is from RefSeq and is a predicted model, not a curated record. NCBI's taxonomy places the organism in Eukaryota, Metazoa, Arthropoda, Insecta, Hymenoptera, Eulophidae. The transcript has 3 exons.